CCCGUGAACCUUUACUAUAGCUUGACACUGAACAUUGAGCCUUGAUGUGUAGGAUAGGUGGGAGGCUUGGAAGUGUGGACGCCAGUCUGCAUGGAGCCGACCUUGAAAUACCACCCUUUAAUGUUUGAUGUUCUAACGUUGACCCGUAAUCCGGGUUGCGGACAGUGUCUGGUGGGUAGUUUGACUGGGGCGGUCUCCUCCUAAAGAGUAACGGAGGAGCACGAAGGUUGGCUAAUCCUGGUCGGACAUCAGGAGGUUAGUGCAAUGGCAUAAGCCAGCUUGACUGCGAGCGUGACGGCGCGAGCAGGUGCGAAAGCAGGUCAUAGUGAUCCGGUGGUUCUGAAUGGAAGGGCCAUCGCUCAACGGAUAAAAGGUACUCCGGGGAUAACAGGCUGAUACCGCCCAAGAGUUCAUAUCGACGGCGGUGUUUGGCACCUCGAUGUCGGCUCAUCACAUCCUGGGGCUGAAGUAGGUCCCAAGGGUAUGGCUGUUCGCCAUUUAAAGUGGUACGCGAGCUGGGUUUAGAACGUCGUGAGACAGUUCGGUCCCUAUCUGCCGUGGGCGCUGGAGAACUGAGGGGGGCUGCUCCUAGUACGAGAGGACCGGAGUGGACGCAUCACUGGUGUUCGGGUUGUCAUGCCAAUGGCACUGCCCGGUAGCUAAAUGCGGAAGAGAUAAGUGCUGAAAGCAUCUAAGCACGAAACUUGCCCCGAGAUGAGUUCUCCCUGACUCCUUGAGAGUCCUGAAGGAACGUUGAAGACGACGACGUUGAUAGGCCGGGUGUGUAAGCGCAGC
Molecule: ribosomal RNA, 795 nt
Filed under: Escherichia coli
Lineage: Bacteria; Pseudomonadati; Pseudomonadota; Gammaproteobacteria; Enterobacterales; Enterobacteriaceae
Description: partial 23S ribosomal RNA
Rfam family: Bacterial large subunit ribosomal RNA
Source: RNAcentral